This 335-nucleotide ribosomal RNA is filed under the name uncultured bacterium. RNAcentral describes it as "bacterial SSU rRNA". It matches the Rfam family "Bacterial small subunit ribosomal RNA", at positions 8 to 334 of the family's 1533-position model. The record is from RNAcentral.
AGGGUUUGAUUCUGGCUCAGGAUGAACGCUGGCGGCGUGCUUAACACAUGCAAGUCGAGCGGAGAUGUUUAAAAGCUUGCUUUAAAACAUCUUAGCGGCGGACGGGUGAGUAACGUGUGGGUAACCUGCCUUAUACUGUGGAAUAAUCACUUGAAAAGGUGACUAAUACCGCAUGUGGUCUCCGGAGGGCAUCCUCUGGAGAAGAAAGGAUUUAUUCGGUAUAAGAUGGACCCGCAUCUGAUUAGCUAGUUGGUGAGAUAAUAGCCCACCAAGGCAACGAUCAGUAGCCGACCUGAGAGGGUGAUCGGCCACAUUGGGACUGAGACACGGCCCAA